ACUUUUAAAAUCAGUUAUUGAAGAACCGAUUUUGUAUACUGCAUACAAAAUCGGUUCUAAAAUAACCAAUUUUAAAAGU
RNAcentral lists this microRNA precursor (79 nucleotides) under Cajanus cajan (pigeon pea). Its description in RNAcentral is "miRNA gene-KK1_041600". Lineage: Eukaryota; Viridiplantae; Streptophyta; Magnoliopsida; Fabales; Fabaceae. The record is from RNAcentral.